This is a long non-coding RNA of Hordeum vulgare subsp. vulgare (domesticated barley), 1726 nucleotides long. RefSeq lists it as uncharacterized. The record is from RefSeq and is a predicted model, not a curated record. NCBI's taxonomy places the organism in Eukaryota, Viridiplantae, Streptophyta, Magnoliopsida, Poales, Poaceae. The transcript has 3 exons.
CAGCCCACCACCACCCCCAGUCGAUCUGUACACGUAUUUUUGUGUGAAAUUCGGUUGAGAUUCCAGGAUUUGUUCGGCCAUUGGGUACUAGCCAGCGAGACCGUGAGAUUGAGUGGUAGAGAAUAGAAGAGAUCAGCGAGAACCGGAUCCCCCCCCAACGGCAGAAAAAACAGAAUUGGGUUAUUUGUUUAGCUCUAGUUCUAGACUUGGACCUCAGAAUAGUUGGUGUAUUUUUGUUUGAGUGCUAAAUUAAGGAUAAUGACAGCUUGUUUGCUCUUGCUAAUUAAGUUGGCAGCAAACAUGUGGAGGGUUGUUUCGCUGUAAAACUAUUCCGGUGUGAUGGUUGCCUUUUUGUUGUUGUUGUUAAGGAAACAUAUUUUAUACUAGCAACUUAUCGAGUAGGAAGCACCAGGCAAUGUUGUGGUGGGUUGACCGAGUCUGUACUUGAGCUGUAGUUAUUCACUCUUUGCAAUUCCUUCGUUUCUGGUAAUAGAAAUCAGAAGCUAUGGAGGGUCUUGCCCGGGGAAAAAAGAAGGAAAAAGUAGUAAUAGGCAACGCCAGCGUGUUUCUUGUCCUGAAUCAUGCAUUUGGGUAGGUAACUCAAGAAGGUCCCAUUAGUCUUGGUUGUUUGCGCUUGUUUUAUUCAAGAGUCUGUGUUCACGAUAUGUUUCAUAUGUCCUACAGUAUGUACAUCUUCCCAUUUCGAUUAUUCAGGGCUGUGAUCUCUUCUUUUUGUGCACUGGUUUUAGCUCGUCUAUUCUACCUAAUAUUCUGCUAGAGCCCCAUGUGCGCUCUGCUCGCGGACAUGUUUUAGCUUAUCUAUCAGCUUAUCUAUGAAACACGUUGAACAUUAUGUUUUAGCUUAUCUAUCAGCUAGAGUACUCCAGGUACUUGAAAGCAUGAGGAAACAUAAACUAUCAAACACGUUGUAUGUUGUAUAGUACUCCCUCCGUCCCAUAAUAUAACAACGUUUCUAACACUAGUGUUGUGUUUAAAACGCUCUUAUAUUAUGGAACGGAGGGAGUAGAUAUCAAUAUGACUGCAUUUUUUGUGUGCCUCAUUUUCACUUAUUUUCCACUCCUUGUGCCGUAAAACGUGGCAUGUGCAUUGUUGCUUGGCCUUAGGGAUGGACAUGAUACCAACUGAAAUUAUGAUAUGGAACUUUGCUGAAAAAAUAUUUGUUGUAUAUGUUCUAUUACAAACAUGUUUAGUUAGGCCGUGUCAAAGUAAUCUUUUGAUUCACUGUCUCGCAUAAUCAAUGUUUUUUGACUUUUAUAGAUUUUGAAAAAUUCAGAACUGAAUAAAAUGCUGCCAAUUUGCAGAUGUGAUACAUAUAUAUGUGCAUAUACAAUAGGUUACAGACUCAGAAAUACAUUUUUCAUUGACCAAGCUACAUAGCUAGCUGUUAGUUUGAAUCAGGUGUAGAAUGCUGAAUAGAAUGUGCAUGUGCGUGUACUGAACACAUUCACCCCUGUUGAAAGUUUCAGAUCCAGCAUACAUGCAGCAGGUGUGGUAUUUGGCUUCCAUGUGCAAACAUGAUAAAUGUUGGCCUUCAUUCAUGUUUCGUCGCAAGGUCCAGGAAGAAGAAGUCAGGAGAAGCACAAAGUUCUUGAUCAUUGGAGCUAGUUAUUGUUUUGAUUUUUUAGUUGUGUUACCUAAUGUGAACUAGUUUUGAUUGUAAACCUGAUGCUAACCAUGUUUGAUUGAAAUGUGCCAAGUUUGGAUA